This is a long non-coding RNA of Manis pentadactyla (Chinese pangolin), 3147 nucleotides long. RefSeq lists it as uncharacterized. The record is from RefSeq and is a predicted model, not a curated record. The transcript is spliced from 7 exons. NCBI's taxonomy places the organism in Eukaryota, Metazoa, Chordata, Mammalia, Pholidota, Manidae.
UGAGAAGUGAUGGAAGUGUAAAACACACACCAGAAUUUGAACACUUAUUAAGGAAAAAAGGCAAAAGGCCUCAUUAAUAUUUUUAUUAGUAAUAUUUGGUAUAAUAUUUUGGCUAUAUUGGGUUCAGUGAAACAUAUGAUUAAAAUUUUUCUCCCCUCUUCAUUUUUUGCCCUUUUAAAUGUGACUACUAGGAAACUGAAAUUUGCAAUUCGGGGUUCACAUUAUAUUUUCACUAGGCAGCAUUGCUUUAUAGAAAAUGAUUGCCAGAUUAUUUUUGUAUGAAAAGAUGCCAAAGUAUGCAGGCAAAUAUGUAGGAAAAUAUAUUACUUUUCUGAAUCUUGUAAUGCUUGCAGAUUUUUCAGCUUUUAAAAUUUUGUAAUGUGUUGUGUAGCAUCAUUUAAAAUAAAGAUUUACUGUCAUAAAAAUUUUUGUCUUUAUAAUUCUGCAUUCUCUUUUUUAAAGAAGUAGCCCAAAGUGUAUUAGCUUCAUGACCCACCAAACCUGGACCUGCCCUGGGGUCAGGCACAACACUUUACAAACGGGCCGAAGAACAUUAGUUAGCUCAACAGUGGACUGUCGUAAUAGACAGACCUGCUCGGUACCCUGCAGGCUGUCCCACGCAGUGCAAAGUCCUUCCUUUCCUCAGCAGUGAUGGUAAAGAGGAGGGAAAAAAUGGAUUAACAAAAUUCAGUUUAUACAAAUAAACAAGAAGCAAGCACCUCUGGAAAGAAAGGACAACUCUGUUACAAAAAGGGCUGAGUAAACCUGUGGGCAGGGGUAGGAAUGAGGGAAGUCAGACUCGGCUUGUUUGUGAGUCUAAGUUUAUGCUGCAGGACACAAUUGGAAUCUUCCAGUAACUGCAUUUAAGGACAAUGAAAAAAGCAGGAAUUUAAAGAGAGCUGGGUGACCCUGAAUAAGAGACUCUCUUAGACUUCAAAUUUGAACCCUGGGGACUGGAGCUGUGUUUUAGUCCACCACAGCAUCAAACAUGAGAAAAUGCAAAACCGGAAUCAGGAUUUCCUGGCAUAUUAGUUAGCCUAGUGAUGUAGUGUACAGUGUAUAAGAGUGUAUAGUAGGAGUGUGUAAUAUAGUGUGUAAUAUGCAUGUAGAGUGGGUGUGUAUAGAACCAGUGUAUAGGAUGUAUAUGUAGCUCAAUGUACACUAAGUGUAUUUAGCAUAGUGUAUAAAACGUGUAUAUAGUACAUAGUAGAUUUAUAUCAUACAGUGUGUAGUAUGUGUCUAUAGCAUAUUGUAUAACAUUUGUAUGUAGCACAGUGAAUAUAUAGCAUAUAGUAUAUACAUAGUAUAUCUAAUAUGGUAUAUAGUAUGUAUACAUUGUACAAUGUACAGUAUGUGUAUACAGCAUAGUAUUUACAGUGUGUAUGUAGCACAGUGCCCUACAGAGAAUGUAGCAUAUACUGUGUAGGUAAUAAGUGCAUAUAGCAUAGUGUUUAUAGCAUGGUGUACAGUAAGUGUAUAUAGCAUUGUGUGUAGUAUGUAUACAUAGUACACAGUAUAUGUAUAUAGCACAGUGUGUAGUAUGUAUCUACAGCAUAGUAUUCAUAGCAGUGUAUAAUAUUCCUUUUAAAGACUGAAGGAAAGAAAGGAGAAAGAUGGACAGCUUUAUGGCAGUUAAAUAAUUUCUCCACUUGUGGGGACUCAGGACAACCCAACCCUCAUCUUCGCUGUCUGCUCCUCGAAGGGAACACCUUAGCAGCAUAUCACGCAAUAUUCCAGUUACAAUGAUCAUACUUGACCCUGGUAAUGACUUGCCAGUCACUGAACAUUAUUCUGGCUCCAAGCAUGGGUAUAUUUUAUAAAUUGUUAAUGAUGAGCAAUAAGCAGAAGCACAGAUGAAGUUAUCUUGCAGGUCCUGUGUAGUCAGGGCUCCACUGCCUCUGACAAGAUGAAAGGCUGAUGCAUGAACGCUGCACUCAUUAGCUGCAAUUAAGGAGGUCUUAUGUUUGACGCAGUUUAUUAAUUUUAGAGUAUUUCCCUCAUGCAAUUUGAAGAAUUGCAUAGAAGAGGAGGUAGUUCUUGUGAACAACAGUCUGGAGGCAGAAGCUACCAUUUUUUAUCUGGUGUAAUAAAAAGAAAAUUCAGUACACAGAGGGACUCCUUACAAGGGAUAUAAAGUGAAGUGAGUUCACUGUAAGUAAGUAAGGAGAUUGAUAAGCAGUAGGCAUUUUCUGGUUUAGGUUGAAUGCUAAACAUCUUAUUUUUUCCAAAAGUUAUGUUUCUAAAGAGUAUCUAUAUUGGAAAAGUCUUUGGUCAUAGCAGAUACAAUGUCUUCAAUAAGCAAAUGGCAUAUGGGUGUUUUGACAGCAGGCUCGGUGGGGACGGGAGUGUGUGGUGCAGAGGAAAGGGUGGAUGGAACCGUGGCCCAGACUGGAUACAAUGAGCCCCUCUACUCACCAAGCCCCUCAGCAUCUCUCUGUUCCCACCUGUCUUCACUCAUUGAUCUCAUUUUCAAGAAUAGAUAGUCUCCGGGAACACUUCAGGGCUUGUAAUCAUCUCAUGAUUUUUUUGAAAUUCCUUCCUGUGGAGCUACCUGCUCUCUGCCCAUGAGACACUGAUAGCAGUUCCCGCACUCAGGUUGCAACAGCCAGGAAUGUCUCCAGGUCUUUCUUCCAUCUGGAUUCGCCCUAAGACACCCAGACUCUGGUCAGAGGCCCUCCACAAACCAAGCAGGCUGUGAGCUGUGAGUGCCCAGCAGAACUCACCACCUGCCCCGCACCGCAGGCUCAGUAAGGAUGACGGAGCAGACCGGUGCGCUGCCUUGGAAGGAGUUCCAAAUGUAAGAAGCCGAUCCAAGGAGCCCUGGCAGGGUGUCCAGAGAGCAGCAUGGACGAAGCAGGAGCUGCGAGAAUCAGCUUCUCAUAUCUGCUGGGGCUUAGCACAUGCCUAUUGCACAGUGGGUGCUGAAGAAGAGGUCAAAACUGGGUUUCUCCAUGCUGGUGAUGCAGUUUCCUUAAGUGUUUGAGGCAAGCAAUCCAAUGCACUGGAAAGGAAACAAAACAUAUCUAGAAGAAUCUCUUGAAACAAGUAUCCACAGAUAAUGUGACAACAGGAAUGAGAUCACAGCACCACCGGAUCACUAUGAAGAUCUGAGGGAAACUCAAAAUGUCUGCUUUGCACCUUAUUUUA